GAAGUCAAAGUCCUUCCCUCUGUGUGUGGACUUCAGUGGAACUCUCAGGUCACAGAGAUUCAGGGUGGUCAGAGGCGGUUUGAUGUUUUGGGGAGAAAGAACAGCCGUGAAGGAUUCUGUGAUGCAGGAGAAGGUGGGAGGCCUCAGGACAGAAUCAGCAGGUCACCAUGCUUUCCUGCGUCAUCCACCUGUGGGCCUCUAAUGUGUUUCUAUGAAGUUUGCAUUAAAGUUUCAGCCACUAUUUUUCAGAAACAUGGUCAACCUCUCCUUCCCUCCUCUAUCUGCUGAUAGAGUUCUACAGAAAACAAGGGAAUGACUUGAGGAGGACUAAGCCAGUGGAUCACAAACAUCCUGGAGAGCAGUGACUCUGUGAUUCCAUCACAAGAAUAUGAAGGACUGAGAAGAUCUCCAGCUCUGCCCAUUGCACCUUCCCAUUGAGAAGCAGCAUGGCACCCUGGUGGCAGGGGCUGAUACUCAGCCGGGCCAGGGUGCUCUCCUGUUAACCAUAACCAAGCUCACAGGACAUGGGAUGAGCCCACUGUGUGACACAGGGAGCGGGACACAGUCUGUUAAGUCUUGCACAGCCAUGCUCUGCCACGCAGGCAGGCCUUUCCUUGGCCUCCCUCUCCCUGUUCGUGCUCAUGUGAACAUCCACCUACGUGGAUAGACUGGGCUUUGGUUCAUUAUUGCUCUGUGAAUUCCUCGAACUUCCGCAUCUGCCCAACCUCCCCCACCCCAUUGUUUUCAUUGUGUUUCACCAAAUGGAAAUUCUAGAGUAAGCAUGUGAGUCCUCUCCCAAACUUGUUCACUGUUGAGAGUGCUAAAAUGCUAACCCCAGAUGCUAACUGAGGGGUAGGGUUACCUUAUCUUUAGAGCACUGCGAAUUGUAUGUUAAGUGGAACUUAAUGAAAAAAUAGUUAAUUGACCAACAUGAAUAUCCCCUGAACAGAAUCUCCCCUGAACAGAAUCCUACAAUGAAACUAAGGGAGAUAAAUAAAGCUGUUUACCUGAAAGCUCUCUCUAAUCAAGAUCCUUUGAAAUUUAUAAAACAUGGUCAAUAUUUGCACUGGACUUUGUAAAAAUAAAGCUUGAUAAGAGAAGAGUUUGAAGUGAAAUGCUGCCACUUUCUAUGCAAUAUUUGAUUUAAAUUUAAUUCCUAGAAACCUCAGAUGAAUGUGGUUCAUGUAUCAAAGCACUCAGCAUUAUUUAUCGCGGCCUUAAAUACACAGUGAGCUUACAUGUGAAUGAAUACAUAUAUUAUGUAUCUCUCUCUAUAUAUAUACUAUAUAGAUAAUAUAGUAUAUAUAUAUAUAUAGUGUAUAUAUACACUAUAUAUAUCGUGUAUACAUAUACUAUCUAUAUAGUAUAUAUGUAUAUGGUAUAUAUAUCUAUCUAUAGAUAGAUAGAUAGAUAUACUUAAAAAAACCCCAUUCCCUUAAGAGCAGUUAAGGGACACCAUAUAUCAAAUUUCUUGGCACGUUGUGAAUAUUAAUAUCCCCAAAGUGUCAAUGUCAAAUGAUUUGACUUGAAAUCACUAAGCUUGGUAAUCUCACUAUUUUUAAACAAGGCCUAACAUCUUUUAAUCUUGAAUACCAGCAAGUUCUCAGACUUCAGUUGUUUAUUUUCUCUUUUCUUUCCUUUAAAAAAUUCUGACAAGCUCUUUUCCUUGACACAAAGAAAGCGUAUAAAUUUUAUUUUGGUUUGAACAACAGAAAUUUGCCUCUCAGAAUUCUGGAGAUUGGAAAGUCUAAGGACUAAGCUGCUGGCCAAUUUAGUUCUUAGUGAGGACUCUCUUCCUGGCUUGUAGAUGGCUGCCUUCUCACUGCAUCCUCAGAGAGAGAGAGAGAGAGGGCUCUUGUGUCUCUUCCUUUCUCAUAAAGCGUCAGCUCUCUUGUAUUAGGGUCCCACCCAUAAUUACCCCCUUAUAUGCCCCAUCUACAAAUAGAGUCACAUUGUGGGUUAGAGCUUGGCAGUGAAUAAUUAUGGAGGUUAUUGUUGGCUUUAGAAUUUCGUGGUAGAAACAAUAAAUUGCCUUUGUGUUUA
Molecule: long non-coding RNA, 2043 nt
Filed under: Homo sapiens (human)
Lineage: Eukaryota; Metazoa; Chordata; Mammalia; Primates; Hominidae
Description: long intergenic non-protein coding RNA 3082
Source: RNAcentral